This is a long non-coding RNA of Tupaia belangeri chinensis (Chinese tree shrew), 778 nucleotides long. RefSeq lists it as uncharacterized. NCBI's taxonomy places the organism in Eukaryota, Metazoa, Chordata, Mammalia, Scandentia, Tupaiidae. The record is from RefSeq and is a predicted model, not a curated record. The transcript has 5 exons.
GGGAGCGGGCGGGGCUGUGCAGGGUAGACGUGGAGGGGAAAGUGGGCCCCACAGACCUGCGUCGCCCGAACGAACAGGCCCCGCCCAGGCCCCGACCCUGCUUUUCCACCCGGGGUCCGCCGCCUCGAGCUGGACCAAUUAGCGUGGGCAGAGCGCGUGGGGUACCUAGGCCGCUUCUUACUGGCGCAGAGCAGGAGAGAAGGCGUUCUUCUUAGGCGGCUGCAGGUCUUAGUGGCGGCGCUGGAGGCCAUGACUGUGGCGAAGGUGACAGUUGGGUCCAGGUGGUCUUACCCGCAACACAUCUUGUUUCAGUGGGAUGGAUGCUGCCCAAAGUGGCCCACAGGCAACACUCCCUGGAGCCCCAAAUGGCACAAGGGCUUCUUAGUGAGAGGUCUUCUUGGAACAUUAAGAACAUUCUGCAAGGUUUCUUUCUGGCUCUCUGAAGUUGUCAGGGAGAAAAAUAUCACCAGUCUUGAGGGUUUCAGAAGCUGGUGAUCUGUCUGCUUCCCUGGCUGUCCAGUAACAUGGAAACAGACCACAUGGAAGGGAGUCACGUGGGAGAGGAGGUGGAUUCCCAGGCCCUGGGCAGUGCCACAGUGAGCCAUGCUUCUUGCUGAUGUCCCAACACAGAUGUCUGAAUCUGACAAUUUUCACAGGACAACACCUCCUCAGCCAAGCAUAAUCCUCUUCAUGUUCGAACCCAAGUAAUUGGUGAUGGCAUUUUGGGGUCAUGGGACUGCAAGAACUGCCUUAAGUACAUGUAUCCUAAGGCAACACA